Molecule: ribosomal RNA, 505 nt
Filed under: bacterium KGJ-3-6
Lineage: Bacteria
Description: bacterial SSU rRNA
Rfam family: Bacterial small subunit ribosomal RNA
Source: RNAcentral
CCUGAUCCAGCCAUACCGCGUGGGUGAAGAAGGCCUUCGGGUUGUAAAGCCCUUUUGUUGGGAAAGAAAUCCAGCUGGCUAAUACCCGGUUGGGAUGACGGUACCCAAAGAAUAAGCACCGGCUAACUUCGUGCCAGCAGCCGCGGUAAUACGAAGGGUGCAAGCGUUAAUCGGAAUUACUGGGCGUAAAGCGUGCGUAGGUGGUCGUUUAAGUCCGUUGUGAAAGCCCUGGGCUCAACCUGGGAACUGCAGUGGAUACUGGACGACUAGAGUGUGGUAGAGGGUAGCGGAAUUCCUGGUGUAGCAGUGAAAUGCGUAGAGAUCAGGAGGAACAUCCAUGGCGAAGGCAGCUACCUGGACCAACACUGACACUGAGGCACGAAAGCGUGGGGAGCAAACAGGAUUAGAUACCCUGGUAGUCCACGCCCUAAACGAUGCGAACUGGAUGUUGGGUGCAAUUUGGCACGCAGUAUCGAAGCUAACGCGUUAAGUCGCCGCCUGGGGA